AUGAUGGAUGACGUAACAGCUGUUAAAGAGGAGAAUAAAGGAUGGAAGAUGGCAUCAGAGGAGGAUGCUGAAGCUGGUAGAUCAAUUGAGCAAGAGUUCCUCACUCAUGCUACACCUUCAGGAUUUGCGCCGCACCAGUUCGAGGGCUUCGGAGCCAUGCUGCUGUUGUUGUCCUCUUUGCCAUUGCGCGCAUAUAUGAUUCUGACUCAGGGAGUAGGACUCUUUGACUCUGGCUCCUCUAUCGAUAUAGGGAGGUCACACCUAGCCUGUUCUGCAAGGUCAAAAGGAAGAAUAUCUCUGGUUGCACAGCCCUACAGGGGAACAAAUGGAUUUCUGUGCUCCGUCGGGUCAACACCACUGAGUUGGUUCACGAAUUCACCAAAUUAUAGUUGUUGA
This 396-nucleotide ribosomal RNA is filed under the name Triticum aestivum (bread wheat). RNAcentral describes it as "partial small subunit ribosomal RNA". The record is from RNAcentral. Lineage: Eukaryota; Viridiplantae; Streptophyta; Magnoliopsida; Poales; Poaceae.